GGGGGCGUUCAGGAUUCGACAGGUAUAGUUUGAACUGAGAUUGCGCUUCGUAGGUGACGUCUACGUUAAAACGUUACAGUUAAAUAUAACUGCUAAAAAUAAUAACAAUUCUUACGCUUUAGCUGCCUAAACAGUAGCUGCGUAGAUCCGCCUAGCAUCGCCCAUGUGUUAGAUCCGGGUCUUAAAUGAAGUGGGCUACGUCAAUGACUCCCACCUGAAGUGAUUGAAAGAGAUGAUCAGGUUAGCUUAAUGCUGGUUGCCAUGUGAUCCGGCGUUUGUGUUAAGCGAAUUUUGAAAUAGGAUGACUAUGAGCGUAGAGAUUUCAGUGGCGAUAUGCUUGGACGCGGGUUCGACUCCCGCCGCUUCCAUAU
Molecule: transfer-messenger RNA, 371 nt
Filed under: Loigolactobacillus rennini
Lineage: Bacteria; Bacillati; Bacillota; Bacilli; Lactobacillales; Lactobacillaceae
Also listed under: 1 other name
Description: Standard tmRNA
Rfam family: transfer-messenger RNA
About the family: Bacterial tmRNA, also known as 10Sa RNA or SsrA, is named for its dual tRNA and mRNA-like properties. Its role is to liberate the mRNA from a stalled ribosome.
Source: RNAcentral